Molecule: ribosomal RNA, 301 nt
Filed under: uncultured bacterium
Lineage: Bacteria
Description: partial 16S ribosomal RNA
Rfam family: Bacterial small subunit ribosomal RNA
Source: RNAcentral
CAGCAGCCGCGGUAAUACGUAGGGGGCAAGCGUUGUCCGGAAUUAUUGGGCGUAAAGCGCGCGCAGGCGGUUUUUUAAGUCUGGUGUCUAAGUGCGGGGCUCAACCCCGUGACGCACUGGAAACUGGGAGACUUGAGUGCAGAAGAGGAGAGCGGAAUUCCACGUGUAGCGGUGAAAUGCGUAGAGAUGUGGAGGAACACCAGUGGCGAAGGCGGCUCUCUGGACUGUAACUGACGCUCAGGCGCGAAAGCGUGGGGAGCAAACAGGAUUAGAUACCCGCGUAGUCCCUGUCUCUUAUACA